AUGAACGCUGGCGGCGUGCCUAAUACAUGCAAGUCGAGCGAACGGACGAGAAGCUUGCUUUUCUGAUGUUAGCGGCGGACGGGUGAGUAACACGUGGAUAACCUACCUAUAAGACUGGGAUAACUUCGGGAAACCGGAGCUAAUGCCGGAUAAUAUUUUGAACCGCCUGGUUCAAAAGUGAAAGACGGUCUUGCUGUCACUUAUAGAUGGAUCCGCGCUGCAUUAGCUAGUUGGUAAGGUAACGGCUUACCAAGGCAACGAUGCAUAGCCGACCUGAGAGGGUGAUCGGCCACACUGGAACUGAGACACGGUCCAGACUCCUACGGGAGGCAGCAGUAGGGAAUCUUCCGCAAUGGGCGAAAGCCUGACGGAGCAACGCCGCGUGAGUGAUGAAGGUCUUCGGAUCGUAAAACUCUGUUAUUAGGGAAGAACAUAUGUGUAAGUAACUGUGCACAUCUUGACGGUACCUAAUCAGAAAGCCACGGCUAACUACGUG
This 496-nucleotide ribosomal RNA is filed under the name uncultured bacterium. RNAcentral describes it as "partial 16S ribosomal RNA". It matches the Rfam family "Bacterial small subunit ribosomal RNA", at positions 29 to 507 of the family's 1533-position model. The record is from RNAcentral.